GAGAGAAAACCAGCUGAAAAGUGUGGCAAUCUGAAAAUAGCAAAGCUGGAGGGAUUUCUCUGGAUCUGAUUUACUGGUCAAAGUCUUGAACCAGGAGAAAAUUCUGGCAGUAGAAUCAGUAGACUUCAAACCAAACAAGAAAAUGACAACAAGUUCAAAAGGAAAAUGUUGAUCCAGAUCUCAGGAAAUGGCAAACUUUCUGGAAAGGGCCAGAUGGUAUUUUGCUUAAAAGACAAUCUUACCUUCUUUGAAGCCCUCCUGUGACUGAAAUGAUACUGGCUGAGUCCUGC
Molecule: long non-coding RNA, 290 nt
Organism: Mirounga angustirostris (Northern elephant seal)
Lineage: Eukaryota; Metazoa; Chordata; Mammalia; Carnivora; Phocidae
Exons: 4
Source: RefSeq, a predicted model, not a curated record